AGAUCAUAUGGUAGAACA
RNAcentral lists this transfer RNA (18 nucleotides) under Litoria inermis (bumpy rocketfrog). RNAcentral's name for it is "partial tRNA-Ser". Lineage: Eukaryota; Metazoa; Chordata; Amphibia; Anura; Pelodryadidae. RNAcentral also lists the same sequence under 1 other name. The record is from RNAcentral.